CUGCUGCCUCCCGUAGGAGUCUGGGCCGUGUCUCAGUCCCAGUGUGGGGGCCUUCCUCUCAGAACCCUACGCAUCGUCGCCACGGUGGGCCGUCGACCCCGCCGUCCUAGCUAAUGCGCCGCAUGCCCAUCCGCCACCGGAUCGCUCCUUUGGCCACCGGAGGAUGCCCUCGGUGGCGUCACGGGGUAUUAGGCCGCGUUUCCGCGGGUUAUCCCCCUUGUGGCGGCCACGGUUGCAUACGUGUUACUCACCCGUGCGCCGGUCGCCGG
RNAcentral lists this ribosomal RNA (269 nucleotides) under uncultured bacterium. Its description in RNAcentral is "partial 16S ribosomal RNA". The record is from RNAcentral.